This 74-nucleotide transfer RNA is filed under the name Marmota monax (woodchuck). Its description in RNAcentral is "tRNA.Ala". The record is from RNAcentral. Lineage: Eukaryota; Metazoa; Chordata; Mammalia; Rodentia; Sciuridae.
GCUGAGAUGUAGCUCAGUGGCAAAGCACUUGGCUUGCGUGCACAGAUGCCUGGGUUCAAGUCCCAGUUCCAUUA